This 1762-nucleotide ribosomal RNA is filed under the name Triticum aestivum (bread wheat). RNAcentral's name for it is "partial small subunit ribosomal RNA". The record is from RNAcentral. Lineage: Eukaryota; Viridiplantae; Streptophyta; Magnoliopsida; Poales; Poaceae.
ACCACAUCCCAACCUUAUCUACUACUCCUAUAUCUAACAGAGAAAAAAAUCUCCAGGUUGUGUCUAUCGUCUCCUCCCCUCCCAAUCUUCCCCCAAAUCUUUCCCCAUGCCAGUGGUUAGAGCCGGAGGAGCUCCAUCACGACCUUGGUGUUCUCCGAGCCCUCCUCGCGCCCGUGGACUAGCACGCAGGUCGUGAGAGCGGGGGAGCUCCCUCACGUUGUGGCUCUGCUCUGGGUCAUCCUCGCACCGACGCCCUUGGACGAAUCAGAGACGGCCAUCUCGGCGCAGCCCGGGUUCCAGCGGGAUGGGUCACUGGCCUGCCCCCGCCUCCUCGCUGCCUCCAUCAACGCCGGCAAGAGCUGGAAUUGCCUGAUGCAAUCACUCCCACCACGGCCCUGCAAGCCAUCACCGCGCAACUAAUUCCUGCUCGCGCAGGCGGCCUCGGAUGCACCUGAUGCGGCCAUCCACAGGCAGCGGAUUGAGUAUGUGCGCUCGACCCUCCUCUGCUUCGGGCCCUCCCUGUGCCGGCCGCCCUUGCCUUCACGCAACUGUGCCUAAGGACAUGAUUCGAAGUUUUAGCUGAAGGUGGCUUACCCUAAUGGAUACCAUUAGGAACUUCUUCACCACCAGCCACAUCAUCCUUUGAAGUCGUCCGGAUGACUGUUGUCGUUCAACCUUUGCAAAUGAUGAGAGGAAGACAAGGAGAAUGAUGCAAUAUUGAGCAUUGACAAUGCAUCUACUUAUUGGACGUGGACUGUCAUAUUCCCAUCGGCAUAUCAAAUAUAUUUCUUUAUAGCAACGCCAUGGAUUUCCUAUCAUGUUUAGCCUCACUCCAAGGCAAGGUACACCCCCCCCCCCCUCUCAUGGAAUUUUUACACAACACUAUCAAUGAGACUGAACCUCAUGUUUCAGAUUUUGUUUCAACGAGACUGAACCUUAUGUCUUUUGGAUUUGUCAUUGACUUUUCCAUUUAUUCGAGGCCCAAUCAAGAAAGCUCAUGUAAUUUUCUGGCUGACUUUCUUUGCCUACCUACCCGUGACACUUUUAUAAUUUUUUUUUGAGCAUCAGUACAGACACAAGCGCUCAUAUACACGCGCAUACACUCACCCCUAUGAACGCACACACGCAUACCCUACCCUUGUGAGCACCUCGGAGAGACUGAGCCGGCAUAUCAUCUUGAGAUUUACGAAGUCACCGUAGGCGCCUCGUCGUCGACGGGAACAUCUCCUCCCACUGAAAGCGCAUCGCUGGAAAUCCUGAAAUAAAUCCAGAAAUAAUGCGAGCACCAGGAUUUGAACCCUGGUGGGUUGACACUUUUAUAUUGAGAACUAUAGUUGGUGCAUUUAAGAUCUGAACAUAUGUUUGGUACAAGGUAAUUAUGCCAGUAGCGUUUUUUUGGGAUUAGUACACUUGAAGUUUUAGAAGACACUCUUUUCGACCCAUAGCAGCAAGAUUUUGGUCUUCAACUCUUUUGCAGGAAGAGUGCUACUGAUAAUACAAAGGUAUACAUGAAAUAAUAGACUACUGAAGAGUUGAUGAGCUCAACUCCGUUGAAAUAUCUUAAGAGGAUGAGAUAAAUACCUUCGCAAAAAAGCAUAAUGUACGCAAUACCAUCUGAAAGGAAAAUUAAUAUCUCCAAGACUUCAACCACCUUAUAUGGAAUGCCUCUGCCUAUUGUUGGCUCUCAUUUGUGUGCCAUAUAGUACACUUAUGUAGCUGAGAUAAGAUGUAACAUUUUAAAGUUAUGUUGUUUAUAUCACCU